UACGUAGGGCGCAAGCGUUGUCCGGAAUUAUUGGGCGUAAAGAGCUCGUAGGCGGCCAGUUGCGUCUGCUGUGAAAUCCCGGGGCUCAACCCCGGGCGUGCAGUGGAUACGGGCUGGCUAGAGGCAGGCAGGGGAGAACGGAAUUCCCGGUGUAGCGGUGAAAUGCGCAGAUAUCGGGAGGAACACCGGUGGCGAAGGCGGUUCUCUGGGCCUGUACUGACGCUGAGGAGCGAAAGCGUGGGGAGCGAACAGGG
This 254-nucleotide ribosomal RNA is filed under the name uncultured bacterium. RNAcentral describes it as "partial 16S ribosomal RNA". It matches the Rfam family "Bacterial small subunit ribosomal RNA", at positions 524 to 777 of the family's 1533-position model. The record is from RNAcentral.